AGAGUUUGAUCCUGGCUCAGGAUGAACGCUAGCGGCAGGCCUAACACAUGCAAGUCGAACGGUAACAGGGAUUGCUUGCAAUCCGCUGACGAGUGGCGCACGGGUGCGUAACGCGUAUGCAAUCUGCCUAUAACUAAGGAAUAGCCCAGAGAAAUUUGGAUUAAUACCUUAUAAUAUUGUUAUCUGGCAUCAUUUAACAAUUAAAACUCAGGUGGUUAUAGAUGAGCAUGCGUCCUAUUAGCUUGUUGGUAAGGUAACGGCUUACCAAGGCUACGAUAGGUAGGGGGCCUGAAAGGGUGAUCCCCCACACUGGUACUGAGACACGGACCAGACUUCUACGGGAGGCAGCAGUGAGGAAUAUUGCGCAAUGGACGAAAGUCUGACGCAGCCAUGCCGCGUGCAGGAAGACGGCCCUACGGGUUGUAAACUGCUUUUAUAUAGGAAGAAACACUGAUACGUGUAUCGGCUUGACGGUACUAUAUGAAUAAGGACCGGCUAACUCCGUGCCAGCAGCCGCGGUAAUACGGAGGGUCCAAGCGUUAUCCGGAUUUAUUAGGUUUAAAGGGUCCGCAGGCGGAAUUUUAAGUCAGUGGUGAAAGCCUACAGCUCAACUGUAGAACUGCCAUUGAUACUGAAAUUCUUGAGUGUGGUUGAAGUAGGCGGAACAUGUCAUGUAGCGGUGAAAUGCAUAGAUAUGACAUAGAACACCAAUUGCGAAGGCAGCUUACUAAACCAUUACUGACGCUGAGGGACGAAAGCGUGGGUAGCGAACAGGAUUAGAUACCCUGGUAGUCCACGCCGUAAACGAUGAUCACUCGUUGCUAGCGAUACACUGUUAGUGACCAAGCGAAAGUGUUAAGUGAUCCACCUGGGAAGUACGUUCGCAAGAAUGAAACUCAAAGGAAUUGACGGGGGCCCGCACAAGCGGUGGAGCAUGUGGUUUAAUUCGAUGAUACGCGAGGAACCUUACCAGGGCUUAAAUGCAGAAUGACAGAUUGGGAAACCAGUUUUUCUUCGGACAUUUUGCAAGGUGCUGCAUGGUUGUCGUCAGCUCGUGCCGUGAGGUGUCAGGUUAAGUCCUAUAACGAGCGCAACCCCUAUCAUUAGUUGCCAGCGGAUAAUGCCGGGAACUCUAAUGAGACUGCCAGCGCAAGCUGCGAGGAAGGUGGGGACGACGUCAAAUCAUCACGGCCCUUACGUCCUGGGCUACACACGUGCUACAAUGGUUGGGACAAUGGGCAGCCACUACGCAAGUAGGAGCUAAUCCUUAGACCCAAUCUCAGUUCGGAUCGGAGUCUGCAACUCGACUCCGUGAAGCUGGAAUCGCUAGUAAUCAGAUAUCAGCAAUGAUCUGGUGAAUACGUUCCCGGGCCUUGUACACACCGCCCGU
RNAcentral lists this ribosomal RNA (1390 nucleotides) under uncultured Flavobacteriales bacterium. RNAcentral's name for it is "bacterial SSU rRNA". It matches the Rfam family "Bacterial small subunit ribosomal RNA". Lineage: Bacteria; Pseudomonadati; Bacteroidota; Flavobacteriia; Flavobacteriales. The record is from RNAcentral.